RNAcentral lists this signal recognition particle RNA (267 nucleotides) under Solirubrobacterales bacterium. RNAcentral's name for it is "signal recognition particle sRNA large type". It matches the Rfam family "Bacterial large signal recognition particle RNA". Rfam says of the family: The signal recognition particle (SRP) is a universally conserved ribonucleoprotein involved in the co-translational targeting of proteins to membranes. Archaeal SRP consists of a 7S RNA and homologues of the eukaryotic SRP19 and SRP54 proteins. In most bacteria, the SRP consists of a 4.5S RNA and the Ffh protein (a homologue of the eukaryotic SRP54 protein). The record is from RNAcentral. Lineage: Bacteria; Bacillati; Actinomycetota; Thermoleophilia; Solirubrobacterales.
CCGUGCUAGGCGGGGUGCUAGCGGUGCCCUGUACCCGUAAUCCGCUCUAGCGGGGCUGAAUCCCCUCUCGAGGGGCUGGAGCCCGAGGUCAGCGCCCCGUCAGUGGCGGUGAUCGUCCGGUCCCGCUGCGAUGGAGACCCGUGAACCAGGUCAGGUCCGGAAGGGAGCAGCCUUAAGCGGUCAUCUUCAGGCGUUGCGGGAGCGCUGGACGGGAGUCACGAGACGGUGGCAGCGCCUCGGGUGUCGGCCUCGACAGAGGGUGCACGG